UUCGCCCUUAGAGUUUGAUCCUGGCUCAGGACGAACGCUGGCGGCGUGCUUAAAACAUGCAAGUCGAACGAGAUUGAGUUGGGUACUUGUACCUAAUUUAGUCUAGUGGCGGACGGGUGAGUAACGCGUGAGCAACCUGCCUAUCACAGGGGAAUAACACUUGGAAACGAGUGCUAAUACCGCAUAUGACCACAACCUAGCAUUAGGAAGGGGUGAAAGGAGCAAUCCGGUGAUAGAUGGGCUUGCGUCUCAUUAGUUAGUUGGUGGGGUAACGGCCUACCAAGACGACGAUGAGUAGCCGAUCUGAGAGGAUGAACGGCCACAUUGGAACUGAGAAACGGUCCAAACUCCUACGGGAGGCAGCAGUUAGGAAUAUUGGGCAAUGGAGGAAACUCUGACCCAGCAACGCCGCGUGAAGGAAGAAGGUUUUCGGAUUGUAAACUUCUGAUCUGUGGAAAAAAGGAAGUGAUGGUACCACAGGAGCAAGCCACGGCUAACUACGUGCCAGCAGCCGCGGUAAUACGUAGGUGGCAAGCGUUGUCCGGAAUGACUGGGCGUAAAGGGAGCGUAGGUGGUGCUUUAAGUUAAAUGUGAAAGACCGUUGCUCAACGACGGAACUGCAUUUAAUACUGGGGUACUAGAGUACAGGAGGGGUAAGCGGAAUUCCUAGUGUAGCGGUUAAAUGCGUAGAUAUUAGGAGGAACACCGGAGGCGAAGGCGGCUUACUGGACUGCAACUGACACUGAGGCUCGAAAGCGUGGGGAUCAAACAGGAUUAGAUACCCUGGUAGUCCACGCCCUAAACGAUGAAUACUAAAUGUGGGGUGGUAUCGACUCCAUCCGUAUUGAAGCAAACGCGAUAAGUAUUCCGCCUGGGGAGUACGGCCGCAAGGUUGAAACUCAAAGGAAUUGACGGGGACCCGCACAAGCAGCGGAGCAUGUUGUUUAAUUCGAAGCAACGCGAAGAACCUUACCAAGACUUGACAUACAGUAGCAUAGUAUAGAGAUAUAUGAAAUGAUAGCAAUAUCACUAUUGUACAGAUGGUGCAUGGUUGUCGUCAGCUCGUGUCGUGAGAUGUUGGGUUAAGUCUCGCAACGAGCGCAACCCUUGCGUUUAGUUACCAGCAGUAAGAUGGGGACUCUAAACGGACUGCCGUAGAUAAUACGGAGGAAGGUGGGGACGACGUCAAAUCAUCAUGCCUCUUACGUCUUGGGCUACAAACGUGCUACAAUGGCUGGCACAAAGAGAUGCGAAGCGGUAACGUGGAGCGAACCUCAAAAAACCAGUCUCAAUUCAGACUGUGGGCUGCAACCCGCCCACACGAAGCCGGAGUUGCUAGUAAUCACAAAUCAGAAUGUUGUGGUGAAUGCGUUCCCGGGUCUUGUACUCACCGCCCGUCA
RNAcentral lists this ribosomal RNA (1400 nucleotides) under uncultured bacterium. Its description in RNAcentral is "16S ribosomal RNA". It matches the Rfam family "Bacterial small subunit ribosomal RNA". The record is from RNAcentral.